AGGUGUAUGUGUUUGUAUGUACAUUUUGUCUUGUACGCAGACGUCUGUGUGCGUACGUGUUUCUAUUUCUGUGUAUUUAUACUCCAUUGCGUACAUACUGGAAUUAUGAUUCCACAUGAUUUCUUGCUAUAUUUGUUAUAAAUGUAUCUGCAUAUAAUGGUACUUCCUUUCCGAUGGAAUUGAGUUUAUGCUUGCAGUUUUUGUCAAAUUGAAAGCUUUCCUUUUUCCCCCCUCCAUACUGGAUAUCUUCAGGAUCAGUUGAAUUUUGUUUUUACAAAGUCCAGUUUGCUAAAACGGAGCAGAAAGCUCUUAUCUUUUAUUUUGUUUUUUUGGGUUUUGAAUUGCGACUACAUCCAUCAGAUUGUCCAAAAUACUACUAAAUUUCAUUGCUAGUUUUAUGGUUUAUUAUGAAACUUGUAAUUUUUCACAUAUUCUUAUAGUUCCCUGUUCACGGAAAACAGGUUUCUUGACUAGAUAAAAGGCUCAUUGGAAUCAGAAUAAGCUAACAUCAUGAGAUACAAAAAAGGGAGCGAAGUCGAAGUAUUUUGUAAAGAUGAGGUGCCGUCCGGCUCCUGGCGUUGUGGGCAGAUAAUAUGUGGCAACGGUCACCAUUACACCAUCAGGUGCAUUAUAGGAGCUAAGGAUGCGGCAAUAUUUGAGAGAGUCUCUAGGAAGUCAAUUAGGCCAUGCCCUCCUGUUGUUCAUGUAUCUCGGAGCUGGAUGCCUGGUGAUGUUGUUGAGAUGUUGCACAAUUACUCUUGGAAGAUGGCUACGGUCUCAAAGGUUUUAAAGGGAAACCACUUUUUGGUCAGGCUUGUCGGAUCCUCGAAUGAGUUCAAGGUUCACAAGUUUGAUAUCCGGCUGAGGCAAUCUUGGAUGGAUGGGAAAUGGAUCGUGGUUGGAAAGGUACUUCCAUUAAAAUCUUAUCUAUUAUUCAAUCAAGUUUUUUAUUAGUGGGUGUUUAAUCACACUCUUGGAAGUUUCAUUUGGUUAACCUGUAUCAACUAUCUCUUUCUUGAUUUUGCAUAACUAGAUGUGUAUGUUUUGUGCUACCUACUGCAAAGUAUAAUCUGAUUUGCGUUCAUGUCUGUGUUAUAGCAUGUCAGACUUGUUGAUAUUUGUUUUUUUUUUUUUUUCAUUUUUUACAUAGUAAGCCCAGUCAAUGUAUGACAGCCAUUUGUCAUACAAUCUUCCUGGAUACUGGUGCAGCAUCUAGUAGUGAGAUGCUAGCUCCUUGCUUGACUAUGUUCAUUAACUAUCCCUUGUAUUUUCUGCUUCAAACAGGGUUUUGGAAAUUAUGAUGAAGAGAAAUACUGUGAACAGCCAUGUUUCAAAUAUGAUUAUAUAUCAGGCUCCUUUAAGGGGAUAAAAGCAAAAUUAGAUUCCCACGAAGAAAAGGACAGUGUUGGUACUGUAAACAACAUCAACUUCCAGGAAUCACAUGUAGUUUCCAAGAAAAAUCUAAAGAGAGUGUCUCACAAUGUUUACCCUCAAGCUAAAGCACCUGAAAGUGCUCGAAAGUUUAGAGCCAUCGAAAAAGGUGGUAGACAUCAUCGAGUGAUUGUUGCUGAUCCUUCCCCGUUGCCUGAGAAGGUAGAAAAUUAUCCUCAUCCAAAGAAAUUGCCAGGAGAAAAGGACACAUGUUAUCUUUUAAACAAUAAAACUACAAUUUUCUCUCAAACGGAUGAAGGGCGGAUAAGAAUCAUCGAUGUUGCACAAUUUUCAAAUUCAAGAACUUCAGAUUGUAAUGAUGUGGAUGAUGAUGUGAGCUCUGUUGGCAGCUGUUCUAUUGGUUGGGACAAUCGCAUUAAGUGGCCUUCUAGGAUCUUGGCAUGUCCUGUUGGAUAUGCUGACGAUCAUUCCAGUGAUGCUGAGUCUGUUUGUCCGCUAAAUAAAGAGGAAGAUAACUAUUUACAACCCAGUGAAGAGGAGUUGGCUGUGGAAAUUCAUAGGUUAGAGUUGCAUGCCUAUCGCUGCACUCUGGGGGCUUUAUAUGCGUUAGGACCUUUAAGUUGGGAACAAGAAACGUUGAUGACAAACCUUCGUAUUUCCCUUCAUAUAUCAAAUGAUGAGCAUUUGAUGGAGUUAAGGAACUUAACAUCUAGUGCAACCGGCAUCCACGUUAGUUGACAGAAAACUGAUAUCGUAUGUUUUCCUUCAUAUUUGUUGUUGCUCUUGUAUGUAGAAUUUCUUUUGCAUUUUGUUAAUAGCUUCUGAACAUUGUAACAACAAUGAAAGGAUUCUAUUCGACAGGUUGGAUUUUGAUUACAAAAAAAGUUACGCUAAGUUCCACUGAAAUACUUUUUGUUAAGCAUUUCUAGAACGGAGGGCCUGUUUUUCAGCUCAUUUCUUUCUUGCCAGAUCUUCCUGCUUGUAUUGAAGAGCUUGAUGGUAGUAAAAUUUGUUUAGUGUAAAGUUUGAAGUUUACUUCAUAGCAAGUAGAUUAUCUUGCUGUAAAAGGGUGAUGUUUCCAUAGAUUGUGGCGUGAUUUAUGCUUCAGAACUUCCAUUUAGCGCUUGUGUAGUUUAGGAUCCAUUGGCAUAUUUAGUUUGAUUCCCUCCACACUGUUUACCAGCAUGGUCUUCCUGUCUUUGAGGCAUUAUUGACACUUCACCUGUAUUUCCAGGGCCCAUUUGGAGGCUCGUACGUCUUGAUUAGUUCUAAUGGUGAUGUUCGGUUUGCCUCCUUUCUCUUGAUGUAGACAAUGGGGCAACAUCAGCAUCAAACUAGCUAAAGCAGGUUAUUACACCAAUUUUGGUAUGAUUCAUGUUACUAUUUGCUGCCUUCUUGGUUUCCACUCACUGCCUAGUGGCUACUAGAGUUAAAAAGCAUUCCACAACGUAGGAUACAAAUUGACUGUAGGAUAGGAGUUGCGUACCCUGACCACUAGCCUUGUUAUGCUAAUUGACUAUGAUGUAGGAUACAAGUUAUGUACCCUGACCACUUGUCUUCUGUUCUGGUAAUGCGAAAGCAAUUCUUUUUCCAAAUAAAGUACAUGCUGUUGAACAUCCUUCAGCUAUGCUUCCAACACCGAGCUCUGCUAACUUGAGCCCAGGCAGAUUUCCAAUCAUGUUGCGGUGAUUUAUGGAAGCUGUGAUUUUGUUUCUGGUGGAGGAAAUGGAAAAUUGGUGAGAAAAUGGUUUGCCGGAUUCCUUUACAGACUGUCACAGAUUGGCGUCUCUCCUGGUGUGAUCUUACUCUCAUGCUGUUGUAAUUAAUAUGAUUUGGCCUUUGCAAUUCCACAUAUUAAUAAUCUCUAACUGCUUUGGAGUUCAGCUGGUUGUAUAUCUUCAGCUGAAGGGAAUGCACAAGUCCGAGUGUCUCCAUGCUGAGUGGUACAACUACUUAAUAAUCUGCGCUUUGCAUGUGUGAAACCUGAAGCUCGAUGUUGUCAAGAAUUCGCGUCUUUUUGAGCUAGACUAUUGGUACUUGGCAUGCUGGCGGGAGAGACUAAAAGGAAAUAAAGUUUGGAAUGUCUGGUUUGUUAAAUUUUUUUGGAGAAAGCGAGAUUACAGCCUUGCAUUGGGGUGGCAUAUUUUAGUUCAUAUAUUCCUAUUUAUAUUUUCAGAAUUGAAUGGAUCAGCAGGUAGGAAAAUUUGACUUCCAAACGUAGAAAUGCCCUUGCGACUUUGAACAAUUGUGUUAUCUGUGUCUUGCACAAUAAGCUCUUAGUUUAAAUCAUGUGGAGUUGUCAUCAAUGGUGAGAGAGAAGAUACUUAUCAGCAUCAGUUUAGGAAAUAGAUUUCCAUCAAUGAAAGCUCCCUUUUCCCUAAAAUACGGAAACGGUACCCAUCUGUCUCUAGCAGGUCUGCUGCUCACUUUGACGUAUAGCGAACCUUAUUUAGUUUGUGUGAGCGGUUUCACUGCUAGAAGCUGUCGUCCUCCUCCCCCAUGUGGAGCUACUUCACUAACUUAUUCUGGGGUUAUUUCUCUUUGGCAUGAACAAGAAGGAAAAAAGUUAUGAUUGCUGGCAAAGUUCUGCUGCUGUAUGCAUAUACGUAGGUGUGUAGGUGUCUGAUUCUUCGCGCCUUUACGCUCUUAUCAUUUCUGGGAUGAUUUUUCCAUUAUUGUGUUGAUUCUAUUUCUUUACUUGACUACGUUCUGCAGUAAUUGUACAGUCGAAACUGCAAGCUAGCGCCUUUUUUGGUUUUCUAUCUGGGGGGCUUUGUAUCUUCAUCUUCUUUCUUCUGUCGCGGAUAUGACGGAUAAUCUGUGCCUGUUGGUUUAAGCGUUUAUUCAUGUGGUUAAAUAUAUUUCUGAUGCGGCUUCAAUUCUACGUCUGGACGGACAAAGUUGGUUGCCCGUCAGGAGGAGUGUUUGUUCCUUCGUCCCAAAACUCCUCUCGCCUUCUUCGCCCUCAAUAGAUCGAUCAUUGACUGUUGGUUCCAAGUUCCAACCAAGAAAAGGCUGCGUCAGCGUCAUUCCUCACCUGUUAGCUGCUUGAACAUGAUGAUUGAUGAUCUGAGACUCAUUGACAUUAUUUAGAUUUAAUAAAUAAUCCAGUGACGGCGGGGCGGGCUGAGGACUCGUUUGAGCCUGACUGCCUUGAUUCAAAACUUCACAACGUACGACCACCGUACAAUAUUUAUUUAUUUUUCCAUUUUGUCCGAAGGAGAAACAGGAUUGAUGUUUAGCUGAAGCCCAAUUUGAAGUUUAAUGAAACGGUAUGUCCAUCAAUUGGGCCCCAAGAUUUCAGAUAUAGUUUCAGUCCAGUCCAUUGUAGUCUUGUUGUUACGAGUAUUAAAUGCGUUGGGCCUGGGAUCGGUGAAAACGGCAGAGACCAGGAUGCUCCUCUGCAUUUAAUGAUCUAAUAAUUAGACGUGGAUGGACAUCAUCAUUCAAUUACACGACUAUUACUACUACUACUUAUUUAAUUCAUGCCUUUCAUCGCUUCCGCUGAUUAUGCUUUUAUUCUAUUCUUAGUAAAUAAAAAAUGAUUAACUCACCCAAAAAAGGAAAAUAAAUAUUUUUUUAAUUGGGAGAAAAGAAAUUAAUUCACCUUAAAAUACACGUAACAACAAAUUGUACAACCACCUCUAUUGAUGGCAUGUAUACAUAUACUCCCUCCCUUUUUUUAUAACUGACGUUUAAGGUUUUGCACACUAAUUAAGAAAAGUUUUUCAUUGUUUAAAUCUAUACACUACUUUCCUUUUAUACCCUCAUUAAUUGUUUAAUUCACCCAUAUUUUCUCUCACUAGAAUAUUAAAUGGUGCUGUUUUACUAGGCCAAAAGUAAUGCAAACUAACUCCCACCAAUUAUGAAAAGAGAGAUAAAAGGGUAAAAUUGUGAAAAAAUAAUUAAUGCUGCAUGGGAAUAAUAAAACGACAGAUAAAAGUACUUAAGAGCAAAUUUCUUAAACGUCAAUUAUAAAAAAAGGGAGGGAGUAUAUUACAGUAAGUAAUAAGUAGCAGUAUACUUGUUGAAUUCAGAGCAAAAUUUCUCAAUGCCGCCGCCGCCCCGCGGGGGGGGGGGGGGGGGUUCCCAUGAAAACAGCUCUCCUUCACCGGGAACUUUACGCAUUAUUAAUGGAUUAUCUGGUACCAACUUUACGCGAUUCAGAUUAUUAAUUACUCGUGCCUUGCAUAGUAAAUUUGUUAUUGGAAUUUAGAAAGAAGGUGCGCAAUUGAGUAAAAGUUGGGAGGGAUGGAUAACCCAACCCCCAGGCAAGAAACCUACAAAUGAGUUGUACAUUUAUGUGGUUCCACCAAAUCCUCUGCCAUUGUCUUAUUUGCAUCGAUCAUGAUUGGGUACUCCCAUGUGAUCAUGCCUCCCCUCCGCCUUUGCAGUUUGCAAGAGGGUUUAGCCUUCCUGGUCACAUCUAUAUCCUUAUACUAUAUAUGUAGGUAUGAUCCGACUGAUCCUGUCUUCUUCUUCUUCUUUUUUUUCUUUCUUAAUUAAAAAAAAAAACAAAAAAGCCUAAAAAAUAUACUAUGAAACCACAAACUUUACCAUGCAUGCUUCGAGUAGCAGCAGCAAUACAAAACAUUUAGUGGAUUUCUGCCGUUUCAUAAUUAAGGCCAUGAUCGAUCGAUCAUGCUGUGGGCGAAAGAUCAUUGUCGAAGACAUUUAGUGGAUAAACUCAACUGAUGUGCGUGCCAGCGACGUUCGUUGAUCAUCAACAAGUAAAAUUGGCGGCCGUGGCUAUAUGCAAAUUUACUUACCGUAGCUCAUUCUCUACUUUGUCGAAGUUGCAAGAUAUUUGAUUUGUCCCCAGUUCUAUAUACGAUCACAUGCAGACAUGUGACCUGCUGGUUAUGCGUAUAUGUAUUUUACAAUGAUAAUCAUUUUUAUGGCAAGAAAAAAUAGAUUGACAGCUGAUUGGUCCGCCAGCCAAAGGGUGCACUGUCCUCUGCG
RNAcentral lists this long non-coding RNA (6354 nucleotides) under Coffea arabica (coffee). Its description in RNAcentral is "long non-coding RNA (CARA_LNC004001)". The record is from RNAcentral. Lineage: Eukaryota; Viridiplantae; Streptophyta; Magnoliopsida; Gentianales; Rubiaceae.